RNAcentral lists this long non-coding RNA (5737 nucleotides) under Sus scrofa (pig). RNAcentral describes it as "lncRNA (ENSSSCG00040007473.1)". The record is from RNAcentral. Lineage: Eukaryota; Metazoa; Chordata; Mammalia; Artiodactyla; Suidae.
GAGUUUGAUGAAAAUAAACAUGAUGGGAAACAAAAUCAACUAAAUUGACAAACUAUGAAAUUUCUCAGGUUUUGGCAUAUGCCAUUGGUGAAGUACAUGUGAGAUGGCUAAUGACAUGUUUAUAUUUAAUUUAGAUGUUUGGAUCCACAUUAUUUUAGCGACGUGAGAACCGUGCAUCCUUUUAAGUGCCCUUGAUCAUCCUGCUUGCCCAGUAGCAGGAUAAUUUUCUACCCUGUACCAAAUAAUUGUGAUAGUCAAUGAGAAUUAGGUCCUGUUCCACAUAGUGUUGUUUUUGUCCUGGAGAGUUGGCUAAAUAUUCACUAGAUCUGUAUUCACAGUGCUUGAGCAUAUUUUAAAGUACUUUUUGACCCUUUUAAUGUACACUUGUAAUUAUAAUAAAGUAAUAGGAAAUCGGGCAGUGUCAUUAUUAAUGACAGAUAUGAUCUAGUGAAAAUAUAUCAUUUUAAUAGCACUCUGCUGAAGUCAUAGACGAUAAUGUUCUCAUUUACAGGACUUAUAAUUCUAAGUCAUAAAUCACAUCGAAUUUCAAAAGUAAAGUACUUGUUACUGUAUAAAUCUUUGUUCAAACUUCUUUAUCAGUUGAAAUGUGCUAUCCUAACUCGUUCUCCCUUUAUGUUGAAAGUAAGUACUGGCAACAGUUUCUGUAAAUCAGUUUUCAGUGCUCCGCUGUGCAUAGGAGCUGUGAUUUAUGUCAGCGCUUUUGGAGCAGGGAUGCUCGACCUUUUGUGGUUGGAUUAUGUAUCCUUUUGAGAAUCUGUAACGUAAUCUGUGAAAGCCUCAGACCUUUUCACCUGAAGAAGCAUGUAGGCACUAAUGCAAAUACAAUUUUGUGUGUAGUUCCUUUAGGUCACUGGAUCUUCUAAAGCUAAAUCAAGGACAUAUCCGUAGCAUAAUUCUUACUCCUUCAAGAAACCCAGCUCUACUUUUUCUUUGUAAAUCAGAGCCAUAGUUUCUUCUGUUUAGUCAGCAUCGCAGAAAUCUCACUGCCUUCCCUGUUUUACGUGUUUAGUUCUAAAGACCAAACUAUUAGGGGCCUUGUGGCAUUACUUCAUAUUAUAGGUUUUGUAUAAGGAUUACACAUUUUCUAAAGUUACUCUGGGAAAAAAUAAGCAGUCUCUUUUCAUCAUGUUUUCUUAUCGCGACAUUAUUCUUCUCUGUCAGGAAGUUGUGAGGAAGUCUGCAUUUUUGGUCAAAUAUCCCGGUAUCUUGGGAAGAGAAGAACUGUGUAGAGCUUGUACAUCUUGAAAAGUUUUAUCUUCUGAAAUUCACUUGUAAAAAUUAAUUUUGACUGUUAAGCAUUUGCUGCAUGCCAGACUUUAUAUGUGGCACAUAAUUGAUAUAAUUUCAUCCAUCCUCAUAAAAACCCCAGCAGAUCUGUUCAGGCUGCUGUAACAAAAACAUCAUAGACUGGGUGGCUGAAAUACGAUUCUGGAGGCUGGGAAGUCCAAGUUCAAGGCACUAGCAGAUUUGGUAUUUGGUGAAGACAAACUGCCUGGUUCGCAGUCAGUCGUCUUCUGGCUGUGUUCUCACCUGGAAGAAGGGAUGGGACAGGAUUGCUCUCUGGGGACUCCUUUAUAAGGAUACAAAUCCCGUUCUUGAGGGCUCUGCCCUCAUAACCUAACCAACUUUAGAAGGUCCCACCUCCUAAUACCGUUACACUGCGGUGCUAGGUUUCCACAUAAGAAUUGGCAGAAGAGGGAGCAGGAAGAUGGGACACAAACAUUAAAUUUGUAACGAGUAUACAUGAUCAUUUCAUUUUUACAGUCAAAGUACCUGAGGCUGACAGAGUUGCAGUAAGAUUCCCAGGAAUACUUAUUCAGUAAUUACUCUGAGUAAUUACUCGAUUAUCUGUAGGACAGACGGGGAAUUUCCUGACACUUUGUCUUUCUGGCCUCUAAUUUGUGAACAUUCCACUGCAAGCUAAAACGGUUUGUCUGGGAUUACCAAAGAAAUGCUGUUUUGAUAGUUUCUCAGAUUAGAGAAGAAACACAUUUAGGUUGCUUCUGUGUCUUCGUUACUCUAAAUAGUGCUGCAGUGACCAUGGGUUGCAUGUAUCUUUUUGAAUUACAGUUUUCUCUAGAUAGAUGCCUAGCAGUUGGAUUGCUAGAUUAUAAAGAAGAUACAUACAAUGGAGUAUUACUCAGUCAUAAAAAUGAAAUAAUUCCAUUUGCAGCAAAAUGGGUGGACCUAGAGACUACCAUGCAAGUGAAGAAAGUCAGACAAAUAUCAUAUAUCACUUAUAUGUGGAAUCUUAAACCAGUGAUAAAAAUGAACUUAUUUACAAAACAGAGACAGAGUCACAGACUUUGAAACCAAUGUUAUAGUUACCAAAGGGGAAAUGCUUGGGGAAGGGAUAAAUUGGGAAGUUGGGAUUGGCGUAGACACACUACUAUCUACAAAACUGAUAAGUAACAAGGACAUACUGUAAAGCACAGGGAAUUCUACUCAACACUCUGUAAUAAUUCAUGUGGGAAAAGAAUCUGAAAAGGAAUGGACAUGUGUAUAUGCAUAACUGGUUCACUUUGCUGUCCACCUGAAACUAACACAACAUUGUAAGUCAACUGUACUCCAAUAAAAUUUUUACAAAAAUGUAAAAAAACUAAAAGAAAUACACACCAUGUGACCUCUCAAAAUCUUCACAUAUUUCAUAAUAACUCAUUUGUUCAGUAAAUAUUUACCUAGUGUUUAGGUUUAACUGUCCUUACUUGAUAGAUGAGAAAAUUUGAGGAGCCAGCGCCCUUGUGAUUGUAAUUAGUUUAUUGUCCAUUAAUCAUAACGUGUGUACAAUUUUUUCCUAAUCUCUGUUUUUUGCAAAAUUCUUUUGGGUAUAUUCAUGUAGACAAAUGUAGCCCCAGGUUGUUCCAAUCAACUUUUGUUUGUUAUACAAUCAGAGACUUCUAUUGAAUCUUUUCAAGCCAUUGAUAAACAAUUUCUUUUCAAAUUACUGGCAGAAGAGUGGUCCUUGGAUUGUGAGUUCAAUAACUACUCCUAUUAAACUAAACUCCUUGUUCAUAGCAGACAAGAAACAAAAACUUAGAGAAUGAGUGACUUAAUGAAUAAAUUUGUAAUGCCUAGACUACAAAAAAAAUGAAGAUUACUUAAAGGGACGCAAUAGUUUAAUCUGAUGUGUGUUAAAUAAGCCAGAUUCUUGAAUAUUGUCUUAUUAGGAAAAAAAUACUGCAAGAAAAUGAUGGCUUUAAUUGAAUGCAUCCAGAGAAUGAAAUCAAAGAUUAUAGAGCAAUUGACUUGCGCUAAGUAUGUCUAAGUAUUCUGCUAAAGUACUAAAUUGAAUUAUGAAUUAAAUCCUCUUAUUUAAACAAAUGUAUUAUGCUUCUUUGAGGUUUAUUCUAUCUGUAUUCAGUAUUUUUAUUUGAUUUAGACUUUUCCUGUGAUACUUAGAUAAGAGGAUAAAAUCUAUUUGAAAGAAAUUCUUAUAAGUUUGGUGUGAUUUAUUAUACUUCUAUUGAAAGUUUUCUUUUUCUUUUUUUUUUUUUUUUUGAAACCUGUUAAAUCUUGACCCAGAAUUUAUUCGCCAAUCUGCAAGUAUUCAGUCAUGUUUUGGAAUUCUGUCAUGGAAUUCUGUCAUGUUUUGGAAUACAAUAGCUUUUUAAGUUUCUUUAAGUAAGAAGUAAGAUAAUAAUCAUUAAACAAAUUUUGCAUUUAUUAAACUGCCCUCACACUUUUAGGCCUGGGGGUUAGACAGUGAGAACAAAGGGCCAAGGCUACCGUCACUGAAUUUGGGAAGUGGGAUGGCAAGGCAGUGUUUCAGUACCCUUGGUCCCUCCAAAAUAAUAUAAUGUAAACAAUUUUUUCUUUUUUUAAAAAAAUGUUUAAUUUUUUUUAAUUGUUAUUUCCCCAAUACAAUUUUUUUCCUACUGUACAGCAUGGUGGCUCAGUUACACUUACAUGUACACAUUCUAUUUUCUCCCAUUAUCAUGCUCCAUCGUACGUGACUAGACAUGGUUCCCAGUGUCACACAGCAGGAUCUCACUGCUAAUCCAUCCCAAAGGCAACAGUCCACAUAUAUUAACCUCAAGCUCCCAAUCCAUCCCUCUCCCUCCCCCUCCCCCUCCCCCUUGGCAGCCACAGGUCUAUUCUGCAAGUCCAUGAGUUUCUUUUCUGUGGAAAGGUUCAUUUGUGCUGUGUAUUAGAUUCCAGAUAUAAGUGAUAUCAUAUGGUAUUUGUCUUUCUCUUUCUGACUGUCUUCAUUCAGUAUGAGAGUCUCUAGUUCCAUCCAUGUUGAUGCAAAUGGCAUUAUUUUGUUCUUUUUUAUGGCUGAGUAGUAUUCCAUUCCAAUCAGAUUGAACAUUUUCUAUGUGUUGCUUAUAAUGGUGUCUAGCAAUGGGUUUCUUUUGGAAGCAGAUUUCUUUUCUGGAUGUUUCAUGUUUAAUUUCUUAAGGAAGCCAAAAAAUUUAAAAUAAUGGUAUCCUAUAAAUAAAGAAUGUAUUAGCUCAUAUUAUAUGAACUAAAAUGGAGUUUGUGAGUAUUGAGUACUGAAUUACUCAAAAUAAUACUUAAAAAUUAAUUUUCAGAGUGUGAAGUUUUUUUUUUUUUCUUUUAAAUCCAUUAGUCCCAUGUCCAAAUUCCUAGAAUAAAUUCCCAGUCACAAAGAAUGUGAAGGGGGAAUGCAAGGAAUUCUGUGGGAAAGGAGAUACCAGUUUUAGUCAUUGUGAAAAUGGACUUAAAAAUUUUCUGUCUAUUUUACAGACAGAAGAGAAAUAAGAGAAAAGAAAAGAAAAAACUACAGACUUCCAAAUAAACUGUGCUCGCCUUUGUUCUUUCCAUUCUUUUUCUUUUUUGCACUUUUUAAAAACUGUUACGUAUUUUCACAUUAAGGAGUCUUUGUGGAAAUUAGUAGUUCUUACUUGUGUUUGCUCAUAUUUACUGGUAAUCAAGUGUAGUUUGCUUUAUAAAUUGAAUUUUUUAAAAUUCACCCUUAAUCAUUAAUUCAGAGAUACUAGCUCAUGGGAUGAUCAAUUUUUUCACUUGUCUUUUUUUGUUGAAUGAUGUUUCUUUCAUUUUGAUUAAAAACUCCUUUGGCAAUGAACUUUCUUUUCACACAUAUUUGAAUUUAAAAUUACUCUUUUUAAUCAAGUUGCAUUGCAAGACCUUCAUUCUCAGUGUGCUGUAUGAAUGAUUAGACAAAGCUUAACAGCUGCCAUAGUAAUUUCUUUUGCUUCAUUGAAAGGGGUAACAGUGGCAAAUACUAGUAUCACUGUUAAGAUUUUCUCUUAACAUUAUACCCAAAGCAUAGCAUACGUUUCUCAGUUCCUGUGCCUACUUUCAAGCAUGAAAUCUUCCUUGAGCCAAAGAAGGUAUCUAUCUUAGCGGAUAUGGAAGACGCACUAAUUUGUUCAACACCUAUCCAAGUGAUUUGACUCACAAGUGGCAUCAAAUCCAUUUGAAAAUUAAUAUUAUUUCUGAAUUUCUAUAUGGUAUGUUUGAUAUCAGCCUUUCUUAAGACUUACCUACUUAAAAAAUGAAUGAGGUGGGAGUUCCUAUUGUGGCUCAGUGAUUAACAACCCCAGCUAGCAUCCAUGAGGACGUGGGUUCAAUCCCUGGCCGUGCUCAGUGGAUUAAAGAUCUGGUGUUGCUGUGAGCUAUGGUGUAGGCUGCAGACAUGGCUUGGAUCCCAUGUUGCUGUGGCUGUGGUUUUGGCCAGCGGCUACAGCUCCUAUUUGACCCCUCGCCUGGGAGCCUCCAUAUGCCUUGGGUG